AUGCACGCUGGCGGCGUGCCUAAUCCAUGCAAGUCGAGCGAACAGAUGAGGAGCUUGCUCCUCUGACGUUAGCGGCGGACGGGUGAGUAACACGUGGAUAACCUACCUAUAAGACUGGGAUAACUUCGGGAAACCGGAGCUAAUACCGGAUAAUAUAUUGAACUGCAUGGUUCAAUAGUGAAAGACGGUUUUGCUGUCACUUAUAGAUGGAUCCGCGCCGCAUUAGCUAGUUGGUAAGGUAACGGCUUACCAAGGCAACGAUGCGUAGCCGACCUGAGAGGGCGAUCGGCCACACUGGAACUGAGACACGGUCCAGACUCCUACGGGAGGCAGCAGUAGGGAAUCUUCCGCAAUGGGCGAAAGCCUGACGGAGCAACGCCGCGUGAGUGAUGAAGGUCUUCGGAUCGUAAAACUCUGUUAUUAGGGAAGAACAAAUGUGUAAGUAACUAUGCACGUCUUGACGGUACCUAAUCAGAAAGCCACGGCUAACUACGUG
This 496-nucleotide ribosomal RNA is filed under the name uncultured bacterium. RNAcentral's name for it is "partial 16S ribosomal RNA". It matches the Rfam family "Bacterial small subunit ribosomal RNA", at positions 29 to 507 of the family's 1533-position model. The record is from RNAcentral.